Long non-coding RNA from Sphaeramia orbicularis (orbiculate cardinalfish), 84 nucleotides. RefSeq lists it as uncharacterized. Lineage: Eukaryota; Metazoa; Chordata; Actinopteri; Kurtiformes; Apogonidae. The transcript is spliced from 3 exons. The record is from RefSeq and is a predicted model, not a curated record.
GAAUGAAUGUAAAGCGCUUUGGGUACCAUGAAGGUGUAUAAAAUGCGCUCUAUAAGUUCAGUCCAUUUGCCAUUUAUCAUUUAC